GUGAUUAAGUAAGAAAGGGCGUACGGUGGAUGCCUAGGCACUUGGAACUGAAGAAGGACGCAGCAAACAGCGAAAUGCUGCGGGGAGCGGUACGCACGCAAAGAUCCGCAGAUAUCCGAAUGGGGAAACCCGUCAUCUGUAAUAGGAUGACACCCAUGAGCGAAUACAUAACUCAUGAGGGAGGUACCCGGGGAACUGAAACAUCUAAGUACCCGGAGGAAAAGAAAAUAAAGAAUGAUUCCGUAAGUAGCGGCGAGCGAAAGCGGAGGAGCCCAAACCAGUUCUCGAACUGGGGUUGUAGGACCACGACAAGACAAGAACGACGAUAGGAGAACAGCAUUGAAAGGCUGACCAAAGAGGGUGCAAGUCCCGUAACUGAAAUCGUAGUGAAGUCUAGUGGGAUCCUGAGUACGGCGAGACACGAGAAAUCUUGUCGGAAGCAGGCGGGACCAUCCGUCAAGGCUAAAUAUACCCAAGUGACCGAUAGUGAACCAGUACCGUGAGGGAAAGGUGAAAAGAACCGCGGGAGCGGAGUGAAAGAGAACCUGAAACCGUAUGCCUACAAGAAGUCAGAGCCCGUUAAAGGGUGAUGGCGUGCCUUUUGUAGAAUGAACCGGCGAGUUACGUUAUCGUGCGAGGUUAAGUAGAAGAUACGGAGCCGAAGCGAAAGCGAGUCUUAAUAGGGCGGCAGUACGAUGACGUAGACCCGAAACCGUGUGAUCUAGCCAUGACCAGGUUGAAGUUCAGGUGAAACUGAAUGGAGGACCGAACCGACCCCCGUUGAAAAGUUGGCGGAUGAGUUGUGGCUAGGGGAGAAAUUCCAAUCGAACACGGAUAUAGCUGGUUCUCCCCGAAAUAGCUUUAGGGCUAGCGUCGAGGAAGAGUAUGUUGGAGGUAGAGCACUGAAUGUACGAUGGCCCCAUCCCGGGGUACUGAGUAUAAUCAAACUCCGAAUGCCAAUAUAUAUACUCGGCAGUCAGACUGUGGGUGAUAAGGUCCAUGGUCAAAAGGGAAACAGCCCAGACCGCCAGUUAAGGUCCCAAAAUGUAUGCUAAGUGGAAAAGGAUGUGGGGAUGCACAGACAACUAGGAGGUUGGCUCAGAAGCAGCCACCCUUCAAAGAGUGCGUAACAGCUCACUAGUCGAGUGACCCUGCGCCGAAAAUGUACCGGGGCUAAGCAUACUACCGAAGCUGCGGAUUUGUAGUAAUACAAGUGGUAGGGGAGCGUUCCAUACUGCGUAGAAGUCAGAUCGUAAGGACUGAUGGAGUGUAUGGAAGUGAGAAUGCCGGUGUGAGUAGCGAGAUGUAGGUGAGAAUCCUACACACCGAUAGCCCAAGGGUUCCAGGGGAAGGUUCGUCCGCCCUGGGUAAGUCGGGACCUAACGCGAGGCCGAAAGGCGUAGUGGAUGGAAAACAGGCAGAUAUUCCUGUACCCGCGAUGGAAGUGAAGGAAUGACGGAGAAGGCUAGUGUGACCCACUGAAUGGAUUGUGGGCGAAGCGAAUAGCAGGACGGCAGUGAAAUGCGUCGUCGAAAUGUAAAACGUGACAGGUAAGGGAACGUCUACGGACAAGUACCGAAGCACAUGAGGCCAGCUUCCAGGAAAAGUUUCUAGCAUUAAUUCCAUAGCGGCCCGUACCAAAACCGACACAGGUGGGCAAGGAGAGGAUCCUGAGGUGAGCGAGAGAACUGUUGCCAAGGAACUCGGCAAAAUGACUCCGUAAGUUAGCGAUAAGGAGUGCUCUUGUAAAAGAGAGCCGCAGUGAAGAGGCCCAAGCGACUGUUUAACUAAAACACAGCUCUCUGCAAAGUCGCAAGACGAAGUAUAGGGGGUGACGCCUGCCCGGUGCUGGAAGGUUAAAAGGAUCUGUGAAUCGCAAGAGGAAGCAGUGAACUGAAGCCCCAGUGAACGGCGGCCGUAACUAUAACGGUCCUAAGGUAGCGAAAUUCCUUGUCAGGUAAGUUCUGACCCGCACGAAAGGCGUAACGAUUUGGGCGCUGUCUCGGCAGCAGACUCGGUGAAAUCUUAGUACCUGUGAAAAUGCAGGUUACCCGCAACUAGACGGAAAGACCCCAUGGAGCUUUACUGUAGCCUGAUAUUGAGUUUUGAUCAAAGAUGUACAGGAUAGGUGGGAGGCGAAGAGACGUGUACGCCAGUAUACGAGGAGCCGCUGUUGGGAUACCACUCUUGUUUGAUUGAAAUUCUAACCUGCAUCCAUGAACUGGAUGAGGGACCGUGUCAGGUGGGCAGUUUGACUGGGGCGGUCGCCUCCUAAAGAGUAACGGAGGCGCCCAAAGGUACGCUCAGAUUGGAUGGAAAUCAAUCGACGAGUGCAAAUGCAGAAGCGUGCUUGACUGCGAGAGAAACAACUCGAGCAGGGACGAAAGUCGGGAUUAGUGAUCCGGCGGUGCCGAAUGGAAGGGCCGUCGCUCAACGGAUAAAAGCUACCCUGGGGAUAACAGGCUGAUCUCGCCCAAGAGUUCACAUCGACGGCGAGGUUUGGCACCUCGAUGUCGGCUCAUCGCAUCCUGGAGCUGAAUUCGGUUCCAAGGGUUGGGCUGUCCGCCCAUUAAAGCGGUACGCGAGCUGGGUUCAGAACGUCGUGAGACAGUUCGGUCCCUAUCUGUUGUGGGCGAAGGAAAUUUGAGGAGAGCUGUCCUUAGUACGAGAGGACCGGGAUGGACCUACCGCUGGUGCACCAGUUGUUCCGCCAGGAGCAUAGCUGGGUAGCUAAGUAGGGAAGGGAUAAGCGCUGAAAGCAUCUAAGCGCGAAGCCCCCUCCAAGAUGAGAUUUCCCAUUCUUCGGAAGUAAGACCCCUUGAAGACGACGAGGUAGAUAGGUCAGAGAUGGAAACGUAGUGAUACGUGGAGUUGACUGAUACUAAUAGGUCGAGGACUUAAUCACA
This 2906-nucleotide ribosomal RNA is filed under the name Absiella sp. AM09-50. Its description in RNAcentral is "bacterial LSU rRNA". It matches the Rfam family "Bacterial large subunit ribosomal RNA". The record is from RNAcentral. Lineage: Bacteria; Bacillati; Bacillota; Erysipelotrichia; Erysipelotrichales; Erysipelotrichaceae.